UUACAAGAAAAUACAGUUCCUAAAUUACAGUAAGAAAAUGCAAUGAAAAGAAGCCCAGAGAUCUUCAUUUCGUGGUAAUCUAGAAUUGGCUUUCUUGGAUAUAUUUUGUUUCAGGGUCUGUGACGGACUAUAUGUACCAGAGAGAAAAAGACACGUCAGUAUACCUUCAACUUUAAACAACUCGGUUGUAGCCGGCGAGCGGGCGAAAGACCACGUGCAACAUGCAGACAAUUGAAGUCCUGGCAUCCGAUGGGAAAACCGUGCGUUAAGGUGAUUGAAGUUUCCCUGGCUGAACAGCUGAAUUGUCCAUGUGUUAACCCAGGUUAAGAUUCGUUGUUGCAGUCGACAUAGGAUUGCCCUGUUCCAUUAACUCGUUUGCCAUUGGUUGACUUGCCAGCUCUGUCCACACUAGAAUCAACCCAUGCUCGUUAGAGUCGACUUACGAUUGGUCAGACUCGCUGACUCAGUUGGCCACAAGAAAUGGAAGGACGUUUACGUCAAGCCCAGAAUCAGCCAUUGACGUUAUCUGAAU
This is a long non-coding RNA of Haliotis rubra (blacklip abalone), 532 nucleotides long. RefSeq lists it as uncharacterized. Lineage: Eukaryota; Metazoa; Mollusca; Gastropoda; Lepetellida; Haliotidae. The record is from RefSeq and is a predicted model, not a curated record. The transcript has 3 exons.